Non-coding RNA from Cricetulus griseus (Chinese hamster), 3756 nucleotides. Lineage: Eukaryota; Metazoa; Chordata; Mammalia; Rodentia; Cricetidae. The record is from RefSeq and is a predicted model, not a curated record.
UGCCAUUUUGUCUUAUUGACAGUGACCUUUGCCUUACAGAGCUCUUCCAUUUCAGAAGUUCCCUUUUAUUAAUUGUUGAUUUCAGUGUCUAUGCUAAUGGUGUUAUAUUCAGAAAGUUGUCUCUUGUGCCAGUGUGUUCGAGGCUAAUUGUCAUCAGAGAGCCUUCAUCCAGUAACUGAUAGAAGCAGACACAGAGAUCCACAGCCAAGCACUGGGCUGAGCUCUGGGAGUCCAUUUGAAGAGAGGAGGAGGAAUUGUACAAGCAAGAUGGGACAAGAUCAUGAUGGGGAAACCCACAGAAACAGCUGACCUGAGUUCAUAGGAGUUCACAGAGUCUUGACCAACAGCUAGUGAGCCUACAUGGGACUGAUGUAGGCCCUCUGCAUAUGGAUGACAGUUGUGUAGCUUGGUCUGGUUGAAGGACUCCUAGCCGUGGGCUCAGAACCUGACGCUGGUGCAUGAGCUGGCUUUUUAGAACUUAUUCCUCAUUCUGGUAUACCUUGCCCAACUUUGAUGCAGGGGAGGAGUUUGGUUCUGCCUCAACUUGAUAUGCCAUGUUUUGUUGACUCUUAUGAGAAGCCUGCCCUUUUCUGAGGAUUGGAUUGUGUGGGACAACUGUAGUUGGUAUGUAAAAUAAAUUAAAACAUUUAAUAAAAAUAAUAAUGAUGCCUAGAAAAAAAUGACAUUGUAUAUGAUAGUUAUGUCAGUGUACAGAAGAUUUUGUAGAAAUGACAACCAGCUUUUCAUUCUUGAUGAGAUUUGCCUCCUGCAAAUAACAUAGGUAAUCUUUCAUGAUUCAUUCACAUAAAAGAAACUCUUUGGACUGUAUUUUUUAUUUCUAUCUUUCAGGAGAAGAAGCAGGAAAGAAAUUAACUUCAUUUUUCCAUGAUUUAUGACCACUCUUUGUAAAAUAUUAGUGUAUGUUUUUUUAACUAUUCAACACAAACUUGCAAGUGUACAUAACAAAAAGAUCACCAAAAUAUUUUGAGGUUCAGAAGUAUUAACCUUACACUGUUGUGUAAAAAAACAUCUAGAAUGUCUUCGUUUCGAAAAUCUGAAAUUUGUACCCAUUUAGGUCACUCUAGUGAAAUGUCUAGUCAAGUUUCUUGUCCACAUUUUAGACAAUGUGUUUACUAAGUACUUGGAGUUAUAAUUCCUUAUAUUCUGGAUAUUAAACCUUUAUCGUACAGAUGGUUUCCAAAUACUUUGUCUUGCUGUGCAGUGACCUCUUACUCAUGUUUGUCCUUUGAAGCACAGAAGCUGCUCCUGUAAUCCAAUUUAUCUAUUUUAUCUUUUGUUCCCUGUGCAUUUGGUAUUGUACCUAAGAAAUCAUUUCUAAAGUACUUUUAUAUGUUUAAAUCAAAAGAAAAAUGAGGUACAGGGGUAUGUAAGAAUUUCAUAACAAUUGUGAUAGGUAAGAAAUACCAGAUGCCCAUAUUUAAAAGACAAAAAGAGCUUUUGUCACAAGUCUAUUCAGUGUCCUAUAAUAAAAUGAAAAGGAAAAACAUAAGCUUAACUUUAUCAUUACCUUGAUGGGCAAGGUUUUGACACAAGAAAUGAAAAUACUAAAACAAGGAUGUUUUUCCCUAUAGUUUUUGGUGUUCCUGUCCAAGAACUUUGCCUGAAGAAAUAAUGCAAGAUAUUGGAACAUGGAAGAAAAUAGCUUUUGAAACAUUAUUUCGCUGAUUCUGAAGUGGGUUUUUGAGGAACAUAGAAUAUGGGGACUGAAUACUGAUUUUACUGAGGUAGCAGACAGAGCAGAAAAGGGGUUCCAAAACUGAGAGGCUUUCAUUUCAUGCUCCUCAAUACUAAACCCUGAACUUCAGUGAGUCAGCAUAAAAACUGUGCUGGGCAAAGGUCAGUAGAGCCCUUUCAUCAAUAGGGCAAUGAAGAUAGGUUGAGCUCAUGUAAAAUUAUCUUAUGAAAAGUGUGUAGGUAUGCAGCUCAACUGAAUUUAAGAGAUAGAGCAUUCACAGACUCUCACCCCAAUUACUUCUAAGGAGCAAACUGACACCAUUGUAGAACCAUCUUAAAACUGAAAUGCCCAGCAUAUACAUAGGAAAUGCAUCUUCACACAUAGAAAUCUCUUCCUAGAAAGAAAUAUUAACCUUACCAUAAAGCUGUAAUAUCAUUAACCAUCUAUGAAUGCACAGUCAUUUAAAUACUACUUGGUAGUUAUCACUAUGCUUUACUUUCUGAUUUUUUUAGUGGAAAAGUUACUUACAUAUGAGUUAUUUAAGUGAUUAAGAAGAAACCAGCAUAAUAUAUAACACAUUAAUUCUUCAAAUAAUUUCCUGCUGUGUGAUAGCUACCUAGCCCAAUCGUCUUCAGAGAGGCUUCCUCCGGCAGUUGAUGGGACAGAUACAGAGACCUUCAGCCAAACACAAACAUUAUGGAACCCUGGAGAAGAGUGGAAGGAAGGAUUUUAGGAGCCAGAGGGGUUGAAGACACCAGGAGAACACUGCCUACAGAAUCAACUAAGCAGAGCUCAUAGGUGCUCACAGAGACUGAAGUGACAAUCAUGAGCCAGCAUGGGUCUGUGCUAGGCCCUCUGCAUACACGCUACAGUUGCUUAGCUUGGGUUUUUUCUGGGACUCCUAACAGUGGGAAUGGGGGUAUCUCUGACUCUUUUUCUGCUCGUGGGAACCUUUUCCUCCUACUAGUUUGCUACGUUCAGCUUUGAUAUGUGGGUUUAUGCCUAGUCUCAUUGCAUCUUGUUAUACCCUGUUCAGUUUAUAUCACCGGGAUGCCUGAUCCUUUCUGAAGGGAAAUGGAGGAGCAGUGGAGAGUGGGGGGGAGUAGGACUGGAAGGAGGGGAUAGAAGGGGGCUGUGGUUGGGAUGUUUUGUAUGAAAGAAGAAUAAAGACAGACAGACAGAGAGAGAGAGAGAGACAGAGAGAGAGAGAGAGAGAGAGAGAGAGAGAGAGAGAGAGAGAGAGAUUGUAAGAGCCAGAGGAGAUGGGAUGGCUAAAUGAAACAGUGCUUUCUGGACACUACAGAGCAGUUGCAAAAACUCAUAGGGGUUAUGAAGCAUGCACCAGACCUGUGUGGGACAAAAUUCCAGCAUGCAGGUAAGAGACAAGCAUGAGGCUCCACCCAUAAUUGAGGAACUGUUGGGAAUACCUUCCACAGAGGCAGAGUGAGUGUUCUUUAAGGGUGGGACCCCUGAUGGGUCAACCAUGUUCCAGUGGAUGGCCGCACACCAAAGAGUACGUUACAUAAGCAGCCCUAACUGAACUUGUUGAGUUUGGGUGUGUGGCAGAGGGAUGAGAACACAAAGUUGGAUGGAUAUUGAAUGGUAGUGAGUGACUGUGGGAGGAGUUGGAGGAGACGUGAAUAUGACCAAUAUACAAUGUAUAAAAUUCUCAAAUGAUAUCUUUUAAACAUCACAACAGAUCAAGAAGAGUUACUAGUGUAUUGUUUGAAAUCUUAAAUCCAAUAAAAGCAUUAAAAAAAAUAAGAUAACUAACAAGAUUGGCACAGAGAGAAAUGGAAUGUAGGACUAUUGACAGCCAACUCACCUCUCUUAUAAUGAAAGACAUUUAACAUUGUCCCUGGUUGGUAAAUCAGAAAAUUUAGGUACUUCAUAAUAUUUACCUGUCAUUGAGUUAAACUGGAAAACAAUUUAAAUACACUUAAAAGAAAUCUCUCAGGGAGGAGACUGAAUUAGGGAAGAGGAUUGCAUGCAUGUGUGCUGUUUCACUAUUUGAUAACUGUUACCUUGCUAAUACAUUAAUUAAAAGUGAUAAAAUCCUU